RNAcentral lists this small nuclear RNA (21 nucleotides) under Arabidopsis thaliana (thale cress). RNAcentral describes it as "snRNA_04301". The record is from RNAcentral. Lineage: Eukaryota; Viridiplantae; Streptophyta; Magnoliopsida; Brassicales; Brassicaceae.
UAUACAAGACUCUAAAAAUAA